AGUAAGUCGCUAAGGAGUUACUUAAGAGGUUGUCCACCAUCAGUUUAAACAACAAUUUGUAUACAGCAAUGGUAGCUGUGUUAGGUUGGAUGUCAUCCUCUGUAUAUGUCGAUGACGUGGGGUCAGCCUCGGGGAUGGGUUGGUUUACUCUUGACAGGAUUUUAGUUACCGGCUCCAGCGUCAUCGUGGGACGUGGUACGCACACCUCUAGUUUAUUCAGAUUCAGAUUCAGAUGUUUAUUCAGAUUCAGAGAAGCAAAUUGCUAAAGUAAUGGUUGGACAUCUGAUCUAUGUCCCAGGAUGAUUAGGGAAGGAAGGCAGAAAGAACGCUGUUUUACAUUCACACCGGAGUAUGAACUUGGAUAGAAAACUCACCUAUGGAGGGGUAUGGAGAAUUUAAUUGGAUAUGAGGUCCUGCAGACUGCCUCAAGCAACAGCCUUCUAGAUCGAGUAAUCAUAAGAUUAGCCAGGCCAUGCUUUGAAGAACUCCCAGAACCCACUCCAGGUUAUACUUCAGGGUGUCGGUUGCAGUGCCACCAAACGCCUGGCCUGGGAGGCAGUGCCAUCUAUACCUUAGGAUGAGUUGCUCUGCCAACCACAUCCAGGCACUGAGAUGACAGUGCUCCAUAACAGAUGGACCUCACCCACUGCCGCCACCACCACUAUUACAACUGCCUUCUGGCUUAAGUUAUAAAGUCCCCUCGUACAUAUACACAUAUGCAAUGGAACUGAAAACUCAAUUAUUCAUACACACCAUACAUCUUAUAAUAUUAUAAUGUAAUGUAGCUUUAGGAGAAACUUUGAGAGAGUGACCUUCCUCAUCCCCCACAAAAAAAUAUAUAUAUAUCUUCUGAUUCCUCAACAACUGAACUGUGCACUUGUUCAAGCGGUAACUAACAAUUUAUAAACAAAAAACUAAGAGUUACCAAUAAAGUUCUGAAUAUGAAAUUGCCACAUAUUAGCAAUAUUGAAGGGUAUUAUUUUUAACAGCGAUAAAACACACACACACACAAACACACAGUGAGGGGCCAGAGAUAACAAAACCUAAAAAAUUGGAAUAUAGAAAGAUCUAAUCCACAUGCAUACCAGCACUACAAACUUGUACAAAACUACACAGCAGUGAGAAGAGAUUACCUAUUAACGAUUUUGAAUUCUUAUUCUCCCGCAAGCCUGGCCUAUGGCCAGCCUUCCCUGAUGAUUGCCUGGUCUGUGAAGCUUUUUGAGAAUAGCAGUACUGUAAAACUAGCCUAUAAAUUCGUAAGCAAACUGCAUGGAAAAGUUAAAAUCCAGAGAUUAAGAAAUGGAAACAGAUUCCGAGAGACUAAAAUCAAUUGGUUGAAACCCUAAAUGAACAGUUCAAAGUGUGUUUAUACAAAACAAGGUUUUGUUUUAGAGAACCAUUCACACACACUGAACUUCAAUAGAGCAUGACCUAUGAGACAAGGUAGAGAAACUGUUCAAAGAGUUUGGCAGUUGGGCCAGGUGUAGUUUCACCUUGGGGUCUAAAAGAAUGUGCACUUGAGCUAAGUAUUCCACUGCAAGUUAUUUUUCAAGCAUGGACAUAUGGAAAAGGGGAAACAUGGGUCCAGUCUUCAAAAAUGGUAACAGAAGACUAAAUGAGUGGUUUCUAACCCACCAGUUAGCUUUAAACUAUAGACCUAUAUCAUUGACAAGUGUGGUAGUUAAAUCAUUAAAGAAAGUAAUUGAAACCAACCAAAUAGGUAGAAUACUCAUAGAAAUAUAUGACAUAAUAACAGACAGGCAGUAUGACUUUCAAACUGGAAGGUUCUGUGUAAUUAAUUUACUUAGUUUUUAUGAUUGUCACAGAAAUCUUACAGGAAAGAGUUGACAGUAUCUAUCUGAACCUAAUAAAAAGUAUUUGAUAGAAUCCCACACAAGAAGUUAUUCUGGAAGCGAAGAACACGGGAGGGAUGACAGGCAGACUGCUGAUAUAGAUGAAAAAUUAGGAAUGUACCCAAAAUGAGAAACAUCACUAGCAGAGUACUGCAAGCCUUUAUAGCUGGUACUGUUCAUUAUCUAUAUAUAUGUGAUCUACCAGAUGGGAUUCAGUUUUAUGAAUUAGUUCACAGAUGAUGCUAAGCUACUAGAAAGAAUACAAGUCCUAGCAAAAAAUAUGUGAAAAGGGCAACACAUGAUAGAUGGAAUUAAAUGCAGAUAAGUGCCAUGUUACAGUGUGCUACAGUAUGAAAUACAGCAUGGAAUAAGGGAAGACAAACCACACUCAAUCUUCAAAUUAUGUGAAAAAGAUGCUAAAGCCUUCUGAAUGAGAGAUCUGGGAGUGGUUCUGAAUAUUUCUUUGUGAAAGAAGCCUAUGCAACAAUUGUAAAUUUCAGAAGCACUUGAACUUAACGAUGGAGAAAUACUAGAGGUAUUGUUCAUGACAUUCAGGAGCUACGGCGAGACCAAAAUUAGAAUACAAUAUGCACAGCAUUUUGUGUCGUGUCCAUAUUUCAAGCAGCACAUUAAAUUUGAAAUGGUGCAAAGUCAGAUACCAAAAAUUUGCAGACCUAAAAAAACAAUGGUUAUGAAGAAAAACUGGAGACAUUAAACAUGCCAAAAGCUAAUAAAUUGGAGACAUGAUCACAACAUACAAAAUGGCAGGAAUUUAUGAAGUUUCAAAUAAGGAAAUUUUUAAACCCACAUCAUAAAAAAUAAGAGGUCACAAACUUGAGCUAAAUAAAAAAAAAGGUAAUGAAAAAAUGUCAAAGUUCUCUUUUGAGGGGAAAAUUAUGGGAAGUGGGAACAAUUUAAUAGAAAAGAAGUGGAUGUAGUUUCCAAGAGUCAUACAACACAGGGAAGACGGGACAUCAUGAAUGUAGCGCUGUUCCUGUAACUAUACUUAGGUAAUUACAUACAUUGCAUCAUGGAAUGAUGCUUGCAACUAAAGAAAUGUAUUAAAUAGAAAAAAGUUUGAAGUAUGCAACAGACUGGGUGCUAGAAGUAAGAAAUAAGAGCUACAGGGAAAAUAAUAAAUGCUCUAAACAUGUUUAAAUUGUAUGCAAACAAGUAAAAGGAUAUGAUAAAGUUUCUAUAAGGAUUGAGAAAAGAAAGACUUUUAAGACAAAUAAGUGGAACUAGAUGUGUCAUAAUUGUAAACUACUGUACAGAAAUAACAGAAUUAUUAUUUACCUAUAUUAU
Procambarus clarkii (red swamp crayfish) is the source of this 3158-nucleotide long non-coding RNA. RefSeq lists it as uncharacterized. The record is from RefSeq and is a predicted model, not a curated record. Lineage: Eukaryota; Metazoa; Arthropoda; Malacostraca; Decapoda; Cambaridae.